UGGGCGGGGUUCUGGCCGUGUGGUUGUGGCGAGCCGGCGCCCCAGGCCUCCCACCCGGACCCCCGCGCGCACCCAGGACUAGGGAGACUGGGGGCGCGUGGCUCCGGGGCCGCCCGCACGGGGCGGAUCCGGGCCGAGGGCUUUGACCGCGGUCGCCGGCCUCAGGUAACCGCGCCUCCCGCCCCCUACCUCACCCCGCCCGCCGCCGCCGCCGCCCUAUAUGUGGCCCGACGCAGCCGCCGGGCCAUGGAGCACGCCUGCCGUCACCCACCAUGGAGCUGGCCGAGCGGUUCCUGCUGGACGCGCUCGCCUACCUGGAAUGCGCCCUGGGCGUCGUGUGCUACGUGCUGCUGAAGCUGGUGGGCUCGCCCUACGGGCGCUACGCGUCGCCCGGCUCUGCCUUCGAGCUGCCGGCGCGGGCCGCCUGGGCCGUGCAGGAGCUGCCCUCGUUGGCCCUGCCGCUCCUCGCGUGCGCGGGCGCGCCGGCCGAGCGCCUCAACCGCUGGCCCAACUGCAUCCUCCUGGCCAUGUUCCUCGUCCACUAUGCGCAACGGACCUUGGUUUUCCCAUUUCUCAUCCGAGGAGGGAAGCCCACGCCGUUGUACGCCUUCCUGUUGGCAUUCAUCUUCUGCACCUAUAAUGGCUACCUGCAGAGCAGGUAUCUGAGUCAGUACGCAGUGUACGCGGAUGACUGGCUCAGCGACCCCCGGUUUCUAACAGGUUCUGCCUUAUGGUUGAUAGGCAUGCUGAUUAACAUCCACUCAGAUCAUGUCCUGAGGAACCUCAGGAAACCAGGGGAGACUGGCUAUAAAAUACCAAGAGGGGGCUUGUUUGAAUACAUAUCUGCAGCCAACUACUUCGGAGAAGUCGUGGAGUGGUGCGGCUACGCCCUUGCCAGCUGGUCCAUUCAGGGCUGGGCUUUCGCUGUGUUCACCUUCUGUGUCCUGUUCACCAGGGCUCAGCAACAUCACAAGUGGUACCAUGAGAAAUUUGAAGAUUAUCCAAAAUUCAGAAAAAUCAUGAUUCCGUUUUUGGUUUAAGUUUGCCGUCAGUGGGAUUAUCUUUGACUUGAAGCUUUUCGAUGAUGUUUCUCUCGGGACUUUGAAGCUUUUCGAUGAUGUUUCUCCUGGGACCAUGUAAAUGAACUGGCGUCUCUGUCAUUUUUCUGGUACUUCAUCUGUUUUAAGAUUUGCUCUAGGAUUUUUUUUCCCUAGCAGGUGUGUAAGCUGCCUAAUAACAGUCUAAUCAAGCUGAAAUCACAAGACUGAAGUAUGACGCUGCCCACCAACCAGAGCUGGGAACUGGAACAGGGGUGAGUGGAGAGAGUUCCUGUUCGCUUACGAUUGCUGACCGUGCUGAGUGACGGGACUCCAAGACGCACGACGUGGUGUCUUAAGCAUUCUUCAGCUGCUGCCUCCUGGCAGGAAGCAUGCCCUCUGGCCCCUGCUCUCCGGGCCCCUGGGCACCCCAUCGGGUCAGCACCCCUCUCCCCUUCUCCUGGCUCACCUUCCCCACUAGCGGCUCCCUCCCCAUGAGUGUUCAUGUAGAAACUGUGUUCUUGGUGUUAGCAGUUUGUUACAGUCUCUUGGGGUUUUCGAAAAGCUUUUCCUGAUGUGGUUGUCCUUCAUUUUAACUAAAACUGGAAUGCUUUUGCAGGGAACUUUUAUGAUCAGAUAAAAUCUGUGCUUCAUUCUAACUAAAACUGGAAUGCUCUUGCAGGGAAACUUUAUGAUCAAAUAAACUUUGAACCUUUUUCUGAGUGAAUAACAACUUGACACUAUGAAACAGUGAAUAUUUAGAGUGUCGUCUGGAAAACUCAAAUCUGAGCAAGCCUUCACUGAUUUGGGCCCUGGGUCCUGGAAGGCGUACCUGGCCAAGAAGAGGCUUGUCUGAAAGGCAGAGAGGCCUGCUGGGGACUCUGCAUCUGUUGGCGCUGCUUUUUCGAGUGAUCCAGAAUUUGGAGUUCAGUGGGGAUUCCACGCGCAGCCCCUGCUUCGCUGGCAUGCAGUGUCUGACGCAGGAAGAGAUCUCAGUUUGUCUCAUCUGCCUGUCUUCCAAUUACUAGACACUGUAACGUAGCAAAUUAUGACAUUAUUGUGUUCAUUAUAAGAAUAAAGGAGAUUAAUAAAAUUAA
This is an RNA transcript of Capra hircus (goat), 2134 nucleotides long. It is a transcript of the gene named steroid 5 alpha-reductase 1, with no coding region annotated. The record is from RefSeq and is a predicted model, not a curated record. The transcript has 6 exons. NCBI's taxonomy places the organism in Eukaryota, Metazoa, Chordata, Mammalia, Artiodactyla, Bovidae.